Molecule: long non-coding RNA, 640 nt
Organism: Ceratina calcarata
Lineage: Eukaryota; Metazoa; Arthropoda; Insecta; Hymenoptera; Apidae
Exons: 3
Source: RefSeq, a predicted model, not a curated record
AGAAGCUGGCGAAGAGGUUCCUGGAGUCCGCGGACACUAGCCACACGACCGCCUACUGGAGCUGCGCCCAUGUACUUCACCUGAACGGUCCGCGGAGCAGGAAAACGGUUCCUCCGGGAUGCACUUCGCACCGGCUCUUUCUUUUGUUCAGAAAUGGUCAAGACUCGACGAAAGAAUUUAAAAUUACUGCGGCCAGUGGUUAAAAAACGAUCGAAGUAAAAACGGUGAAACGGGAAGAAUGCUCGAAGCAGAGUUAAUCGUACUAUUUAACGAAAGAGGAGAAGGCUUCCUUAAUUUCCUGCGGUAAUGGAAUCGAGACACGAAGAAAAAGAAAGUAAUCAAUGCAGUUACCGGUAAAAUUGCGGCGGCGCAUUCACCGGGUGUUCCGGUUUCGGCUUCCACGGAAGCGAACAUCGCCUCGAUUCGAGCCUGAACCGCGCUGUUCACCCUCUUCUGCUCCUCGGCCCCGACGUCAUCCAGAUGGUUCGAGUUCAUGGUCGACACCUCUCCGUACCAGCCACCCACGGUGGACCCGUAGAUCGACCUAAAUCGGUCUCGGAGGUGAAGAGUCAAAGAGGAACCAGAAAGGCUUCGUCGAUGUCCUCGUUAAAUGAAUAAAUUAUUUACAAGCGAGUGCGAA